CCCUUAGAUGUUCUGGGCUGCACGCGCGCUACACUGAUGCGCUCAACGAGUUUAUGACCUUGCCCGGAAGGGUUGGGUAAUCUUUUCAAAACGCAUCGUGAUGGGGAUAGAUUAUUGCAAUUAUUAAUCUUCAACGAGGAAUUCCUAGUAAGCGCGAGUCAUCAGCUCGUGUUGAUUACGUCCCUGCCCUUUGUACACACCGCCCGUCGCUACUACCGAUUGGGAAAAUUUUAGAGAGUCCUGGACUGAUGAUUGUUCGGCUUCACGGCCUUACUUUCGUCGGGAAAGAAUUCGAUAAUAUUUUUCUAGAGGAAGUAAAAGUCGUAACA
Molecule: ribosomal RNA, 329 nt
Filed under: uncultured eukaryote
Lineage: Eukaryota
Description: partial 18S ribosomal RNA
Rfam family: Eukaryotic small subunit ribosomal RNA
Source: RNAcentral